UUAUAAAGUUCAUAGUUACAAGACAAUAAAUGCUUUAAGUUGCCUUAAAGACAUGUGAGAAAGUUAAACAGAACUGUUUUUGUCAAAGUUUAAUUCUAACACGUUGAUUUUUACAUCCCAAAAAGGUCAAGGUAAGGGAUUUUUGUGAAAUUUGACAAAAUCAGCUGGAUUUCAACCAAAUAAAGGACCAGGAAACAUAGAUCGCAGGCGUCGACAAGCUUAAUAUCUAUAAUACUAAAAUUACGAGGUCCAAUUUGUCAGCCGUCAUCACGUAAAAACGAUGAAUCAAAGAAUUCAACUUUAUAUAUAACUAAUAUAGUACAAUGGUGUUGAUUAAAAAUUACACCACUCUAGGCCCG
Molecule: long non-coding RNA, 359 nt
Filed under: Mytilus galloprovincialis (Mediterranean mussel)
Lineage: Eukaryota; Metazoa; Mollusca; Bivalvia; Mytilida; Mytilidae
Source: RNAcentral